RNAcentral lists this ribosomal RNA (510 nucleotides) under uncultured Candida. RNAcentral describes it as "eukaryotic LSU rRNA". It matches the Rfam family "Eukaryotic large subunit ribosomal RNA", at positions 62 to 576 of the family's 3401-position model. Lineage: Eukaryota; Fungi; Ascomycota; Saccharomycetes; Saccharomycetales. The record is from RNAcentral.
AAACCAACAGGGAUUGCCUCAGUAACGGCGAGUGAAGCGGCAAAAGCUCAAAUUUGAAAUCUAACACUUUCAGUGUUCGAGUUGUAAUUUGAAGAAAGUUUCUCUGAGUAGUCCUUUAUCUAUGUUCCUUGGAACAGGACGUCAUAGAGGGUGAGAAUCCCGUAUGAUUUUGGAUACUAUUCUUUGUGAGAUUCUUUCGAAGAGUCGAGUUGUUUGGGAAUGCAGCUCUAAGUGGGUGGUAAAUUCCAUCUAAAGCUAAAUAUUGGCGAGAGACCGAUAGCGAACAAGUACAGUGAUGGAAAGAUGAAAAGAACUCUGAAGAGAGAGUGAAAAAGUACGUGAAAUUGCUGAAAGGGAAGGGCUUUAGGUCAGACUUGGUGUUUAAAUGAUUAUCUUCUCUUUUUGAGUUGUGCACUCGUUUUUCACUGGGCCAAUAUCAGUUUUUGUGGUAGAGCACCUAUUGGAAUGUAGCUUUUCUUCGGAUGAGUGUUAUAGCCUUUAGACGAUCUU